This 85-nucleotide transfer RNA is filed under the name Rhodoferax sp. Its description in RNAcentral is "tRNA-Leu". It matches the Rfam family "tRNA". From Rfam's summary of the family: Transfer RNA (tRNA) molecules are approximately 80 nucleotides in length. RNAcentral also lists the same sequence under 1 other name. The record is from RNAcentral. Lineage: Bacteria; Pseudomonadati; Pseudomonadota; Betaproteobacteria; Burkholderiales; Comamonadaceae.
GCCCGGGUGGCGAAAUUGGUAGACGCGGCAGACUCAAAAUCUGUUUUCGAAAGAAGUGCCGGUUCGAUUCCGGCCCCGGGCACCA